CAGGCUCUGGGAGCAGCCUGAUGUGAGGGACGCUCUCAGGAGUUCGUGGGCUGAGAAAGAAAGCACAUUGAAGAGAUCAGAGAAGAGAGACAAAGAGCUCCUGAAGGCUGCGCUCGUCCUGGUCUACCACGACUGCGCGCUCCCUCUCCUCCAGUCGACACUCCUGCCCCCGUUCAGGUGGGCGGAAGGAGAGGCUGAGGCUGCCCGCUGGAAGGUGAUCGCUGACUUCCUCACAGAAACCCGAGAGAACGGGGGCGCCCUCCACGCUCUGCUGUCCCCAGAUGGGCUCCAUGACCCCUUUGACGUUUCAGAGCAGACCUAUGACUUCUUGGGAGAAAUAAGAAAGAAUGCAGCCUGACAGCGUGGCCCUGAUGCACCCUC
This is a long non-coding RNA of Equus caballus (horse), 381 nucleotides long. RefSeq lists it as uncharacterized. Lineage: Eukaryota; Metazoa; Chordata; Mammalia; Perissodactyla; Equidae. The record is from RefSeq and is a predicted model, not a curated record.